CACUCCUACGGGAGGCAGCAGUGGGGAAUAUUGGACAAUGGGCGCAAGCCUGAUCCAGCCAUGCCGCGUGAGUGAUGAAGGCCCUAGGGUUGUAAAGCUCUUUCACCGGUGAAGAUAAUGACGGUAACCGGAGAAGAAGCCCCGGCUAACUUCGUGCCAGCAGCCGCGGUAAUACGAAGGGGGCUAGCGUUGUUCGGAUUUACUGGGCGUAAAGCGCACGUAGGCGGACUAUUAAGUCAGGGGUGUAAUCCCGGGGCUCAACCCCGGAACUGCCUUUGAUACUGGUAGUCUUGAGUUCGAGAGAGGUGAGUGGAAUUCCGAGUGUAGAGGUGAAAUUCGUAGAUAUUCGGAGGAACACCAGUGGCGAAGGCGGCUCACUGGCUCGAUACUGACGCUGAGGUGCGAAAGCGUGGGGAGCAAACAGGAUUAGAAACCCCAGUAGUCCC
RNAcentral lists this ribosomal RNA (446 nucleotides) under uncultured organism. RNAcentral describes it as "partial 16S ribosomal RNA". It matches the Rfam family "Bacterial small subunit ribosomal RNA", at positions 334 to 797 of the family's 1533-position model. The record is from RNAcentral.